UUUAGUCCCAGUUUAGGAUAACAUUUUAGUGAAUCAGUUUGAAGGAUAGCAUUCCAGCGAAACCACUCUUUUGCGAUAGCAAAAUCACAAUUUUCUCGUAUCGGUGACAGAAGCAGAGACAUUUGCACCUCGGUUCUUGCGAUUCAGAUACUGGACACGAGCAUGAUGCGGCGACUCCGAGGCGGAAUCAUUCCCGUUCUCUUCCUACACCUCCGAUGCUGCGGUUUGGAUUCUCUGAUAUGCUAGCGCUAGCGCCCGGAUGUCCAGGCCGCACGCCUCAGCGUGCUCUCUGGGUCUGAAGGGCGGAGCGGAGCGCCUUCCGACUCCGAGGUUUCGGGCCUGCCCGGCAGGUGUUCGACGAAAUGUCGCACUUCCGCCCGUGAGCGUUCGGCGACAUUCCUCGCCUCUGGGAGGCUACACUGGAGUCUACUAUGGGAGCCAUGGUCGUCGGAGCACGGCGAUGUGCCCAUGCCUCGCGUCUGUGCCUGGUGCACACGCUCGGAUUUCCAGGCUGCUAUGCAGAUGUGAAACUUGAGGCGGUACCAAUUGCCUCCUUUUUCUUUUUUCUCAUUUCCUUUUUUUUUAUAACUUUGGGCUGGGUGCGAGGAGGAAGCAAGAGAAGGGCCUUGACUGGAGGAAGAUCAUAAAAAGACAAAGGAAGGAAAAAGGAAAAGUUGUAAAGAAAAGGAAAAGGAAACUAGUGACGAAGCAAUUGUCCGCGUUGGCAUGCCACUUCAGAUUUUAGGUUUCUGGUGGUAUAUUUAACGAGUUUAGGGAUCUAAAAAUGCAUUUGUUACAGAUCAAGACAACUCACAUGCACAAUUUUAAGGUCCACUAGUAUAUUUUACUGUUAGAAAUUGAAGUUAUCAGCAAGUCAUAAAGCCAGGCUCAUUGAUAAAGUAGCCAUGUCAAAGCAGUAUUAUGUCAUUGAGAAAUUUAAGUUAUCAGCAAGUCAUACUAAUUUUUUAUA
Non-coding RNA from Oryza sativa Japonica Group (Japanese rice), 970 nucleotides. Lineage: Eukaryota; Viridiplantae; Streptophyta; Magnoliopsida; Poales; Poaceae. The record is from RefSeq and is a predicted model, not a curated record.